AGUAGGUGGGGUAACGGCCCACCCAGCUUAAGACGGUGCGGGCGGUGGGAGCCGGAGCCCCGGAGAUGGGCACUGAGACAAGGGCCUAGGCCCUACGGGGCGCAGCAGGCGCGAAACUUCCCCAAUGCGCGCAAGCGUGAGGGAGUGAGCCCGAGUGCCGCCCGCUGAGGGCGGCUGUUCCCGGGUGUAAACAGCCCGGGGUAGGAAGGGGAGGGUAAGGCUGGUGCCAGCCGCCGCGGUAAAACCAGCUCCUCGAGGGGUCCCCACGCAUACUGGGCCUAAAGCGUCCGUAGCCGGCCCCGUAAGUCCCCGGUUAAAUCCACCGGAAGACCGGUGGGCCGCCGGGGAUACUGCGGGGCUAGGGACCGGGAGGGGCCGAGGGUAUUCCGGGGGAUAGCGGUAAAAUGCGUAGAUCCCCGGAGGACCACCAGUGGCGAAGGCGCUCGGCUGGAACGCGUCCGACGGUGAGGGACGAAAGCUGGGGGAGCAAACCGGAUUAGAUACCCGGGUAGUCCCAGCCGUAAACGAUGCCGGCUAGGUGCCGGCCGAGGUUUCGGCCUCGGCCGGUGUCGAAGCGAAGGCGUUAAGCCGGCCGCCUGAGGAGUACGGCCGCAAGGCUGAAACUUGAAGGAAUUGACGGGGGGGCACCACAAGGGGUGAAUGCCUGCGGCUCAAUUGGACUCAACGCCGGGAAUCUUACCGGGGGCGACAGCAGGAUGAAGGUCAGGCUGAAGACCUUACCUGACGCGCUGAGGGGUGGUGCAUGGCCGUCGCCAGCUCGUGCCGUGAGGUGUCCUGUUAAGUCAGGCAACGAGCGAGACCCCCGCCCCUAGUUGCCAGCGGGGCCCUUCGGGGCUGUCCGGGCAAACUAGGGGGACCGCCGGCGAAGAGCCGGAGGAAGGAGGGGGCCACGGCAGGUCAGUAUGCCCCUAAUCCCCCGGGCCGCACGCGGGCUGCAAUGGGCGGGACAGCGGGAUGCGACCCCGAGAGGGGGAGCAAAUCCCUGAAACCCGCCCGUAGUCGGGAUCGAGGGCUGCAACUCGCCCUCGUGAACCCGGAAUCCCUAGUAACCGCGGUUCUCCAUACCGCGGUGAAUACGUCCCUGCCCCU
RNAcentral lists this ribosomal RNA (1110 nucleotides) under uncultured bacterium. Its description in RNAcentral is "bacterial SSU rRNA". It matches the Rfam family "Archaeal small subunit ribosomal RNA", at positions 231 to 1337 of the family's 1478-position model. The record is from RNAcentral.